UGGGGAAUAUUGCACAAUGGAGGGAACUCUGAUGCAGCGACGCCGCGUGAACGAAGAAGGCUUUCGAGUCGUAAAGUUCUUUUAUAUGGGAAGAUAAUGACGGUACCAUAAGAAAAAGCUCCGGCUAACUACGUGCCAGCAGCCGCGGUAAUACGUAGGGGGCUAGCGUUGUCCGGAAUCACUGGGCGUAAAGGGUUCGCAGGCGGAAAUGCAAGUCAGGUGUAAAAGGCAGUAGCUUAACUACUGUAAGCAUUUGAAACUGCAUAUCUUGAGAAGAGUAGAGGUAAGUGGAAUUUUUAGUGUAGCGGUAAAAUGCGUAGAUAUUAAAAAGAAUACCGGUGGCGAAGGCGACUUACUGGGCUCAUUCUGACGCUGAGGAACGAAAGCGUGGGUAGCAAACAGG
RNAcentral lists this ribosomal RNA (403 nucleotides) under Fusobacteriota bacterium. Its description in RNAcentral is "Fusobacteria bacterium partial 16S ribosomal RNA". It matches the Rfam family "Bacterial small subunit ribosomal RNA", at positions 355 to 776 of the family's 1533-position model. Lineage: Bacteria; Fusobacteriati; Fusobacteriota. The record is from RNAcentral.